RNAcentral lists this long non-coding RNA (1321 nucleotides) under Monodelphis domestica (gray short-tailed opossum). Its description in RNAcentral is "lncRNA (ENSMODG00000037713.1)". The record is from RNAcentral. Lineage: Eukaryota; Metazoa; Chordata; Mammalia; Didelphimorphia; Didelphidae.
UUAGCAUUUAAUUAUGCUUUUCUAAAGAAAAUAAAAAUAAUAUAUGAUCCUACUGUUUUCAUUGCUUGUUGGCAAAACACAGCUUUCCUCCAAUAAUAUGUCACCUAUGAAUAUAUUAAAAUCAUACAAGUUUUCUUGUUAAAGAAAACUCAGAGAUUACUCCAGUACCCAUAUGAUAUUAACCAAAUUAUUAAAUAAGCUGCAACAACCACCUUCUCUUCUUAUUGUCAGGUUUAAGAAGCCAUGUGACAUCCCUCCUUUAAUUCAUCAAUAUACCUGUGGAUCUAUGACACCAUUAAUGAGAAUAAUUCUUCUACAGAUCAGAACCCAAACAUAUGUUUUCUCCUGGAAAAAUAUGUCCAAAGUUUUUGCGUUUUUUUUAACAACCUAUGAUCACUUUCUCCUUCCAGUUACUAAUAAUGGGAGCAUAUUUUGAUUUGAUUUGAAGGAUUUAAUCAUGUUCUUCAUAGCAUUUCUCUAACUCUUUAUUCUCUUCAACAGAUGUUGACAAAUAAGUUGCCAUUACUUUCAUUGUUUUCAUUUUAGGGGGAGGGUUGUUUUUGUUUUCAUUUAUAAUUGUCAUGAGUAUGACCCAUAAAAUGAGGGAGCUCCUUUAUUUCUAUUUCCUCAGAGAACCUGAGUCAUUCUCCUAAUUAGCUACUAUUUCCUGCCUCUUUUGAUUUUGUUUUUACUAGGAUGUUCAUUUUAAGGCAUUCUGAUGAAAACUGCUCAUCUUCCACAAAAGAAAGAAAAAAGAAGAGUCUCGGAAAUGCACUAGCCAUCAGAAUCCUAGGCCCCAGUUUCAUCACAGAUUUAGAUCAACUCUCACUUUCUGAAGAAGUCCCUUUCCUGGUUUCCAAACACCCCAUUUCCAACUUAAUCAAAAUCCAGUGGCAAGACAAAAGUCAGGGCUGCUGGCAAUCUCUUGGGAUGCAAUGGAUGGAUGACCUUGGCAUCUUUCAUGUCCCACCACACUCUAAGCCCUCCCCUGAACCUGCUUCAGCUGCUUUCAUGGUGGGAACAGUCUUCAGAUGCCUGGAGUAGACAUCACACCCCAAGUCAUCAACAGGUCUGAAGCCUGUCAAUUAUCUUCAACCUGAUUUAGCUUACCUGCUGAGACAGUUCCACCAGUGUAUUGCCACUGUGUAUACUACAGCUUUUUGAAGCCACAAGGGAGAACUGGGUUAAAGCUGAAUACAAAAGGUUGAUGAGUAGCCCUAAAAGGGUUUAGUAACUGUACCAGAAGUGAAAGUCUUCCCUGAGUUUCCCAUCAUAGUAAGCACUUAAUAAAUGUUUGUUGACUGAUUAACUUUGCCCUAAU